This 91-nucleotide non-coding RNA is filed under the name Enterocloster asparagiformis. Its description in RNAcentral is "Clostridium asparagiforme Glycine sequence". It matches the Rfam family "Glycine riboswitch aptamer". From Rfam's summary of the family: This family represents the bacterial glycine riboswitch. Lineage: Bacteria; Bacillati; Bacillota; Clostridia; Lachnospirales; Lachnospiraceae. The record is from RNAcentral.
AUGAUGGAUCUGGGAGAGGCCGGGAUGGAUUUUCGCCCCGGAGCCGAAGGGGAUGCGAAAAACUCUCAGGCAAAAGGACCAGAUACCGUAC